UACGUAGGCAGCAAGCGUUGUUCGGAAUUACUGGGCGUAAAGAGUGUGUAGGCGGUGCUCUAAGUCUGUUGUGAAAUCUCCCGGCUUAACCGGGAGGGUGCGGCGGAAACUGGAGUGCUUGAGGGUGGGAGAGGUAAGCGGAAUUCCUGGUGUAGCGGUGAAAUGCGUAGAUAUCGUAAGGAAGACCAGUGGCGAAGGCGGGUCUCUGGACAGUUCCUGACGCUGAGGCACGAAGGUCAGGGGAGCAAACGGG
Molecule: ribosomal RNA, 253 nt
Filed under: uncultured bacterium
Lineage: Bacteria
Description: partial 16S ribosomal RNA
Rfam family: Bacterial small subunit ribosomal RNA
Source: RNAcentral